GAGGCUUUAUCUUAAUUAAAGUAUCUGAGUUGCAUUCAGAAGAUGUGGGAUAAAAUCCUGUGAGUCUUA
RNAcentral lists this transfer RNA (69 nucleotides) under Pseudobranchus axanthus (narrow-striped dwarf siren). RNAcentral's name for it is "tRNA-Ala". It matches the Rfam family "tRNA". Rfam says of the family: Transfer RNA (tRNA) molecules are approximately 80 nucleotides in length. Their secondary structure includes four short double-helical elements and three loops (D, anti-codon, and T loops). The record is from RNAcentral. Lineage: Eukaryota; Metazoa; Chordata; Amphibia; Caudata; Sirenidae.